Molecule: transfer RNA, 64 nt
Filed under: Curculionidae sp. BMNH 1040049
Lineage: Eukaryota; Metazoa; Arthropoda; Insecta; Coleoptera; Curculionidae
Description: tRNA-Trp
Source: RNAcentral
AAAAAUUUAAGUUAAAAAAACUAGUGACCUUCAAAGUCAAAUAUAGAAAAAUUUCUAAUUUUUA